Molecule: unclassified non-coding RNA, 220 nt
Filed under: uncultured Actinomycetes bacterium
Lineage: Bacteria; Bacillati; Actinomycetota; Actinomycetes
Description: uncultured actinobacterium contains 16S-23S intergenic spacer region
Rfam family: Bacterial small subunit ribosomal RNA
Source: RNAcentral
UGGGUUUGACAUGCACCAGAUAUCCCUAGAGAUAGGGCUUCCCUUGUGGUUGGUGUACAGGUGGUGCAUGGCUGUCGUCAGCUCGUGUCGUGAGAUGUUGGGUUAAGUCCCGCAACGAGCGCAACCCUUAUCCUACGUUGCCAGCGCGUUAUGGCGGGGGCUCGUGGGAGACUGCCGGGGUCAACUCGGAGGAAGGUGGGGAUGACGUGUCGUUACCUUA